CCACCUCAGGCCUGCCUGGCCAGCUGCCUCUGUAGCCAAUUCCAGGAGACACCAUCUCCUCCAUUUGGCUACACUCUUCCCCUGCAUCUAGUUAGGCUUCUCUGAGCAGUGAGGGAGGGAGCCCUCACUGAGAGGGGCCCCUGGGGAGAAACCCGAGAAAGCCCUAAGUCACGUGUGGGGCCGUGAUACACCUGGGUGUCUGUGUCUGUGGGACACGGGGAGCCAGGCCCAACCCAAGGAAUGGCACCCAACUGAGGCGGCCUCGGAUGGGUUUUUGCCUAGUUCAGGGUGGACAGUGAGUGGGGGUCUGGCCCCAGCUACCCGGGCCUGGAGGCUCGGAAGAAAAUGCCGAGGCUGAUCCUUCAGUCAGUGGGACCCUUAGCAUUUGGGAGGCCUGGGGAGCUGCUGAUAUCAGGGAUCUGCCUGGGAUGGGGAAGCCCCAGGAAACAGUCUAGGCAGGCUCUCAAGGCUGGGACCCUCACAUCUGCCAGGCAUGCCGGGCUGUACCCUGAGGAUAAGCAGAAAAGGUAUCAAGGAAGCAUCACCCAGUCACCCUUCUGAGGACAGCCUCACUGCCACUGGAACAGGGAGCAACAGGGCAGCACCAUCGUCAGCACUUCCCCUAUGAAAGGCCGUCAAGGUACCAUGAGACCAAAGAAGGAAUCCUGAGACUUGCACCAGCAGCCCAUUCACUGCAGCCCAGCAGCACAGACCGGCCUUGUGGUGCGAUGGGGGAUCCGGAGAGCGGGAACAAAGGCCUUGACCUCUAAGCACCAGAGACCCCCGGGGGCAUGCAGCAGGAACUGGAGAGGCUGAGGAGGAGAGACGAAUGUGCCGGGAGUCGGGGUGCUCUGGGGCCUCGAGCCAUGUGCCCUCUCCGGACCCUUGCCCUGAGGACCCUGGAGCCCCAAAGCAGCCAAAGCCAGCACCUAGGAGGUCUAGAGCCAACGGGAUGCCCUGUAGGCUGACCAAAGUCCUCCAGCAGUGACAGGCGAGGCCUCCCACCUGCUCUCAGCUGCCGGGGGCUAGCAGACUGUGAGGGCUGCGGUGGGUCGGGCCAGAAUUCUAGUGGCUGUUCAUGGGCACAGGGACACGGCGGACAGAGCCCCGCCCUCAGGGACAAGAGAUGGACAUCCUCACCAUCGUCAGCACUUUAGGUGACAUGAGUGUUAAGAAGAAAAACAAAGCAAAGUGAGGACACAGGGCAUGAGCAGUGGAGGUGGGGGGUGUGGGCGUCAGGGAGGCAGCAUCUGAGCCAAAGACACCAGAACACAAGGGCCGAGCCACCAGGGGCUUGGGGACGGAGUGCUCCAGGCAGAGGGCACUGCAAAUGCAAAGACCUGGAGGCCAGACUGAGCCUUGUGGGCUUUUGCCGCUGCAGGAAGGCCAGGAGGGCUGGAGCAGGUGUGGGAGGGAACGGAUGGGGCCGGCUGAGGCUUGGUGGGCUGACAGGCCUUCAAGACCAAAGUUGGGGGCGCCGCCUGGGUGGCUCAGUGGGUUAAGCCGCUGCCUUCGGCUCGGGUCAUGAUCUCAGGGUCCUGGGAUCGAGUCCCAUAUCGGGCUCUCUGCUCAGCAGGGAGCCUGCUUCUCUCUCUCUCUCUCUCUCUCUCUCUGUCUGCCUCUCCAUCUGCUUGUGAUAUCUCUCUGUCAAAUAAAUAAAUAAAAUCUUUAAAAAAAAAAAAAAAA
Long non-coding RNA from Mustela lutreola (European mink), 1686 nucleotides. RefSeq lists it as uncharacterized. The transcript is spliced from 2 exons. The record is from RefSeq and is a predicted model, not a curated record. Lineage: Eukaryota; Metazoa; Chordata; Mammalia; Carnivora; Mustelidae.